UUUUAGCCCUGAUGGGAGCGGCAUCCUUUUGUAUUUGAUAUUAAGAGAGAACAGCUGGUGGCUGUAAGGUAUUUUGUUUUGACAAAACAUCUUGGUAACAAACAAAAGAUACAGCGGACAGCAGGAAAAAGC
This 132-nucleotide small RNA is filed under the name Flavobacterium noncentrifugens. RNAcentral describes it as "Flavo-1 RNA". It matches the Rfam family "Flavo-1 RNA". Lineage: Bacteria; Pseudomonadati; Bacteroidota; Flavobacteriia; Flavobacteriales; Flavobacteriaceae. The record is from Rfam by way of RNAcentral.